This 632-nucleotide long non-coding RNA is filed under the name Setaria viridis. Its description in RNAcentral is "long non-coding RNA (SVIR_LNC004163)". Lineage: Eukaryota; Viridiplantae; Streptophyta; Magnoliopsida; Poales; Poaceae. The record is from RNAcentral.
UCUUCCAUUUCUGCAUCUUUGGACUCUUUCCCUGCCUUUUGUUUCAUUUUUACAUCUUUGGACUCCUUUCCAGCCUUCUCUUUCAUCUCCACAUCUUUCGAGUCCUUCCCUGCCCUCUCUUUCACUUCCACAUCUUUGGGCUCUUUCGUUGACUUGUCUUUCAUUUUUACAUCUUUUGAGUCCUUCCCUGCCUCCUCUUUCCCUUCCACAUCUUUGGACUCUUUCACUGCCUUCUCUUUUAUUUUUACAGUUUUGGAGUCCUUACCUUCCUUCUCUUUCAUUUCCACAUCUUUGGAAUCCUUUCCCACUUUCUCUUUCAUUUCCGCGUCUUUGGAAUCCUUCCCUGCCUUCUCUUUCAUUUCCACAUCUUUGGACCCCUUCCGUGCCUUCUCUUUUAUUUUCACAUCUUUGGAGUCUUUCCCAGCCUUCUCUUUCUCAGCUGAGCUGAUUACUACUUCUUCAUCCAUUUGGCCAUCUGUUGUAUAAAUGAACACAUUAGGCUCAUCUAUGAAAGAAAAGGCAUGCAUUCAAGAAACAACGGGUCCAUAUAAUCAAAGCUAACUCAUUAAGCAAUCGUACCAGAUUCUACAUCUUUAUCCACAUCUGAGUGGGCAAGGGAAUUGUAUGAAUCU